AGAGAUGUACUUUCCUUCGGGACAGAGGAGACAGGUGGUGCAUGGUGUCGUCAGCUCGUGUCGUGAGAUGUUGGGUUAAGUCCCGCAACGAGCGCAACCCUUGAUCUUAGUUGCCAGCACUUCGGGUGGGCACUCUAAGGUGACUGCCGGUGACAAACCGGAGGAAGGUGGGGAUGACGUCAAAUCAUCAUGCCCCUUAUGACCUGGGCUACACACGUACUACAAUGGCCGGUACAACGGGCCGCGAAGCCGCGAGGUGGAGCUAAUCCUAAAAAGCCGGUCUCAGUUCGGAUUGCAGGCUGCAACUCGCCUGCAUGAAGUCGGAAUUGCUAGUAAUCGCGGAUCAGCAUGCCGCGGUGAAUACGUUCCCGGGUCUUGUACACACCGCCCGUCACACCACGAGAGUUUAUAACACCCGAAGUCGGUGGGGUAACCGCAAGGAGCCAGCCGCCGAAGGUGGGAUAGAUGAUUGGGGUGAAGUCGUAACAAGGUAGCCGUAUCGGAAGGUGCGGCUGGAUCACCUCCUU
Molecule: ribosomal RNA, 527 nt
Filed under: Paenibacillus sp. A7
Lineage: Bacteria; Bacillati; Bacillota; Bacilli; Caryophanales; Paenibacillaceae
Description: bacterial SSU rRNA
Rfam family: Bacterial small subunit ribosomal RNA
Source: RNAcentral